GACGAACGCUGGCGGCAUGCCUAACACAUGCAAGUCUAGGGGUAGCAAUACCACUGGCGCACGGGUGAGUAACACGUAGGUUAUCUGCCCCCAUCACAGACAUAACCCCGGGAAACCCGGGGCGUAAUAUCUGAUGAGGUCGCGAGAUCAAAGCUUCGGCGGAUGGGGAGUGAGCCUGCGGCUGAUUAGCUAGUUGGUGAGGUAAAGGCUUACCAAGGCGACGAUCUGUAGCGGGUCUGAGAGGAUGAUCCGCCACACUGGAACUGAGACACGGUCCAGACUCCUACGGGAGGCAGCAGUGGGGAAUUUUGGACAAUGGGGGCGAACCCUGAUCCAGCCAUGCCGCGUGAGUGAAGAAGGCCUCGG
Molecule: ribosomal RNA, 366 nt
Filed under: uncultured bacterium
Lineage: Bacteria
Description: bacterial SSU rRNA
Rfam family: Bacterial small subunit ribosomal RNA
Source: RNAcentral